RNAcentral lists this ribosomal RNA (253 nucleotides) under uncultured prokaryote. RNAcentral's name for it is "partial 16S ribosomal RNA". It matches the Rfam family "Bacterial small subunit ribosomal RNA", at positions 524 to 776 of the family's 1533-position model. The record is from RNAcentral.
UACGUAGGGUGCGAGCGUUAAUCGGAAUUACUGGGCGUAAAGCGUGCGCAGGCGGUUUUGUAAGCCAGAUGUGAAAUCCCCGGGCUUAACCUGGGAAUGGCAUUCAGGACUGCGAGGCUCGAGUGUGGCAGAGGGGGGUGGAAUUCCACGUGUAGCAGUGAAAUGCGUAGAGAUGUGGAGGAACACCGAUGGCGAAGGCAGCCCCCUGGGCUAACACUGACGCUCAGGCACGAAAGCGUGGGGAGCAAACAGG